GCUUACACAUGCAGUCGUACGAGAAAUCUCCUGCUUGCAGGAGAGAGUAAAGUGGCGCACGGGUGAGUAACACGUGGGUAAUCUACCCCUGAAUUUGGGAUAACGUCGCGAAAGCGAUGCUAAUACCGGAUAAUAUCUAAUGUAUUAUGGUACGUUAGAUCAAAGAGGGCCUCUACAUGUAAGCUUUCGUUUGGGGAUGAGCCCGCGGGCCAUUAGCUUGUUGGUAGGGUAACGGCCUACCAAGGCGACGAUGGUUAGCUGGUCUGAGAGGAUGAUCAGCCACACUGGAACUGACACACGGUCCAGACUCCUACGGGAGGCAGCAGUGAGGAAUCUUGCGCAAUGGGGGAAACCUUGACGCAGCAACGCCGCGUGAGUGAAGGAGGCCUUCGGGUCGUAAAGCUCUGUCAAGUGGGAAGAAAAUGUUUCGAAUUAAUAACUCGGAGCACUGACGGUACCACUGAAGGAAGCACCGGCUAACUCCGUGCCAGCAGCCGCGGCAAUACGGAGGGUGCAAGCGUUAUUCGGAAUUACUGGGCGUAAAGGGCGCGCAGGCGGCUCUUUAAGUCAGGCGUGAAAGCCCAAGGCUAAACCUUGGAAGUGCGUUUGAAACUGAAGAGCUUGAGUACGGGAGAGGGAAGUGGAAUUCCUGGUGUAGAGGUGAAAUUCGUAGAUAUCAGGAGGAACACCGGUGGCGAAAGCGACUUCCUGGACCGAUACUGACGCUGAGCGCGAAAGCGUGGGGAGCAAACAGAUUAGAGACCCUGGUAGUCCACGCCGUAAACGAUGAACACUAGUGUAGCGGGUAUUGACUCCUGCUGUGCCGCAGCUAACGCAUUAGUGUUCCGCCUGGGGACUACGUCGCAAGCUAAACUCAAGAAUUGACGGGGCCGCACAAGCGGUGGAGCAUGUGUUUAUUCGACGCACGCGAGAUCUUACCUGGAUUGACAUCCCAGAUGCCCUGAAAAAGGAGUGCCCUCGGGGACUGUGACAGUGCUGCAUG
RNAcentral lists this ribosomal RNA (1003 nucleotides) under uncultured Desulfobacteraceae bacterium. Its description in RNAcentral is "bacterial SSU rRNA". It matches the Rfam family "Bacterial small subunit ribosomal RNA", at positions 46 to 1047 of the family's 1533-position model. Lineage: Bacteria; Pseudomonadati; Thermodesulfobacteriota; Desulfobacteria; Desulfobacterales; Desulfobacteraceae. The record is from RNAcentral.